This 74-nucleotide transfer RNA is filed under the name Anaerolineae bacterium. RNAcentral describes it as "tRNA-Pro". It matches the Rfam family "tRNA". Rfam says of the family: Transfer RNA (tRNA) molecules are approximately 80 nucleotides in length. Their secondary structure includes four short double-helical elements and three loops (D, anti-codon, and T loops). Further hydrogen bonds mediate the characteristic L-shaped molecular structure. tRNAs have two regions of fundamental functional importance: the anti-codon, which is responsible for specific mRNA codon recognition, and the 3' end, to which the tRNAs corresponding amino acid is attached (by aminoacyl-tRNA synthetases). tRNAs cope with the degeneracy of the genetic code in two manners: having more than one tRNA (with a specific anti-codon) for a particular amino acid; and 'wobble' base-pairing, i.e. permitting non-standard base-pairing at the 3rd anti-codon position. Lineage: Bacteria; Bacillati; Chloroflexota; Anaerolineae. The record is from RNAcentral.
CGGGGCGUAGCGCAGCCCGGAAGCGCACUUGAAUGGGGUUCAAGUGGUCGCCGGUUCAAAUCCGGCCGCCCCGA